GCCUGUCUGGCCCCCAGACGAACCUCUCUCUCUCUCUCUCUCUCUCGCUCCUAUAUAAACACUCAUAGCGUCUAUACAGGAGCCGGACACUCCCUCUGAGACACAACUGCUAUAAGGUUCCUCUCACGCUCUGAACGGAGGCGAUCCAGAGACAGAAAGCAGUCAGAUCACCCAGGAAGCCCAGUCACUCAGACGCUAGCAGAAGGAGGGGCCAGCUGCAGUGACCACGGACUACAUGACAAAACAUGAGGUGGCCUUGGAAGACACACACACACACACUUUGCAUGUUAAACAGACAAGUGCUAUAUGUUUCUUUCUUCAGUGGAACCCAAAAUAAGAUGUUCAUGCUGCCUGUUAUGCUCCAAAAAGCACCAUUAAAGUCAACAUAGGCCCAUUGUGAACACAUUCCUAUAGCAACAUUUUUGCAAAACUCCAAAAUACAUGCUAUUCAACUGCAGUUUAGUGCUGAAAUUGAUUACAGGUUGAAUAUUGAUUAAUAAGGACUUACUUUCACACAUUUCUUUCCACAAUGCUGUGUUAUGACCUCAGUCCACUUUUACCAUAGUGCAUGAUUUGUCAAUUUUGACAUUUGCAUCACAUAACCAGCUCCAUAAAGUAUUGAUUUUCUAAAGUAACUUUGCUUGGGAGCUCACCUAAUACAGUGAUGUGUGCUGUGCUCGGUCCGGUGAUACACAAGUAAUUAACUCGAUAAGCAGUUGAAAAACUUGUAGAAGCCAGCAAAAACUGCAUGGUUGCUUGAGCAACUGCAUUUUUAACUCACGUUUGUUAACAUUUCAGGGUAUGUUCAGAGCAGGAUUUAGUUCAUUAAGAAACGCAACCUUUUAGAGCCACUCUCUGAACAUUUUAUUUCCAAACUGUUGCGAUACCCGCAACAACUAUCACAAUAAAACAUUGCCAGAUUCACAUUCACCUGUUUCUGAUAAUCUUAAGAAGCUUUUAGUGCCAUUCACUGGAUAUUUCACUUUGAACGUGCCGCAAAAUGUGCAAAAAGUUGGAUAAUUUUGCAGAAAUGUUGUCACUUUGGUUUAGCUUGCAUCCAGCUGAUGUGUUUUUAUAGCUGGCUAACAUUCUGGAGUUAAGAAUUCAGCAUCCUGUAUGUGCGCACUGUAUGGAAAAGAGCAGUGCUGACAUUCUCCUAAACAUCUCCUUUCAUGUUUCACAGAAAAAAAGAACGUUUUGAUUUUUGUCUGAAAUCCCCCCACCCCCCUUUUUGUCCUGUCUGUUUGCUAUCUGUCUGCUGUUCUCACAGAGCCCUUCUGUACGAUAUGUUAGGACAGAUAUAGAAAUGUAAGACCCCACCUCAGACAGAAUGACAUAAGCUCAGACCCUCCUCUUCUGCCGGCCAGGGGAAUUCCUGGUAGAGUGAUUUUUUAAGCCUAAUGACUGAAUCACAUUGCCAGGGAUUUCCAAUGGCUCGUGUGAGGGACUCGACUCGGAGACUGCACACACGCCAGAUAUAUGCACUGCGAACACACACCUGAACACAUGAGACCCUAAACCUGAAGGAAUGCAGACCGUCUCGCACAUUUGUUAGUGGUGACAGAAGUCCCAAUUGACGCUCAUUUCUUUGCUGGUUGUGUGGUGUCAGGACUUAACCCACUUGUGAACACUGCAUUGAACUUCUUUGUUCACAGUGGUUAAGUUCUGCCAUCCUUAGACCAAAAUCAGCAAAAGGGACGUUAAAGCCAAUUGUGACAUCAAACUAAAUAAGUAUUGUGACAUGAUAUUCUCAUUGCAUAUAUAAUGUACCUGAAAAACUGCAUUAAAGAUGCACUCUUCUUAUUGUCGUCAGUCUCGCGCUGUUGUGACAGGCCUGUUUUUAUCUUGUCAGAAGUAAUCUUCAUCUCAGGUGUUUGACAUGAUAUGCAACAAAUGAGUCGUAGCCUGGAAAUAAAAAUACUUGGAUAAACAUC
This is a long non-coding RNA of Carassius carassius (crucian carp), 1934 nucleotides long. RefSeq lists it as uncharacterized. The transcript has 2 exons. NCBI's taxonomy places the organism in Eukaryota, Metazoa, Chordata, Actinopteri, Cypriniformes, Cyprinidae. The record is from RefSeq and is a predicted model, not a curated record.